GUGUGCUGUGCACAGUUCUUCGGCCUUUGUUUCUAAGUGGCUGGUUCGGCUACCUAUGGCCGUGAUAUCUUUCCUCAGGUCCACUGUGAUUUGCGUGAAGUCCACUCUAAAGGAAGUUUUUAAGUCCUGCAGCAUUACGUGCAGACUUUUGUUUGUGACCGGUGUGUCUUCUGUUGACCCAGGCACGAGAUCCAGCUUAGUUGGACCCACCGAGAAAGGUGAGUUAACCGUGCUUUCAUCUCCAUCUUG
Non-coding RNA from Pelobates cultripes (western spadefoot toad), 249 nucleotides. NCBI's taxonomy places the organism in Eukaryota, Metazoa, Chordata, Amphibia, Anura, Pelobatidae. The record is from the annotation of a GenBank genome assembly.